CUGAACCAGCCAAGUAGCGUGAAGGAUGAAGGGUCCUACGGAUUGUAAACUUCUUUUACAAAGGAAUAAAGUCGGGUAUGCAUACCCGUUUGCAUGUACUUUAUGAAUAAGGAUCGGCUAACUCCGUGCCAGCAGCCGCGGUAAUACGGAGGAUCCGAGCGUUAUCCGGAUUUAUUGGGUUUAAAGGGAGCGUAGAUGGAUGUUUAAGUCAGUUGUGAAAGUUUGCGG
This 228-nucleotide ribosomal RNA is filed under the name uncultured Bacteroides sp. RNAcentral describes it as "partial 16S ribosomal RNA". It matches the Rfam family "Bacterial small subunit ribosomal RNA", at positions 383 to 607 of the family's 1533-position model. Lineage: Bacteria; Pseudomonadati; Bacteroidota; Bacteroidia; Bacteroidales; Bacteroidaceae. The record is from RNAcentral.